Molecule: ribosomal RNA, 468 nt
Filed under: uncultured bacterium
Lineage: Bacteria
Description: partial 16S ribosomal RNA
Rfam family: Bacterial small subunit ribosomal RNA
Source: RNAcentral
GACGAACGCUGGCGGCGUGCUUAACACAUGCAAGUCGAACGGAAAGGCCCUGCUUUUGUUGGGUGCUCGAGUGGCGAUCGGGUGUGUAACACGUGAGUAACCUGCCCUUGACUUUGGGAUAACUUCAGGAAACUGGGGCUAAUACCGGAUAGGAGCUCCUGCUGCAUGGUGGGGGUUGGAAAGUUUCGGCGGUUGGGGAUGGACUCGCGGGUUAUCAGCUUGUUGGUGGGGUAGUGGCUUACCAAGGCUUUGACGGGUAGCCGGCCUGAGAGGGUGACCGGCGACAUUGGGACUGAGAUACGGCCCAGACUGCAACGGGAGGCAGCAGUGGGGAAUAUGGCACAAUGGGCGGAAGCCUGAGGCAGAAACGCCGCGUGCGGGAUGAAGGCCUUCGGGUUGUAAACCGCUUUAGCAUGAGACGAAGCGGGAGUGACGGUAAUGGGUAAAGAAGCACCGGCUAACUACGUG